CAAGGCGCCCCACGGCAGGCAAACAUGGUGCCCCAUGGCAGGCAAACAAGGUCCCCCAGCAUGCAGGUGGGAGCCAUGGAGAUGUCUCAGCCUCCACAGCCAUGGUUUCACACAUCAGCCAAAGUCAGUGAACUUCAGUGUCACAGAACAGGAGUGGUGCUUAUCAGCUUAAUAUCAAGUGAGCGGAAGAUGUUCUAAAAGAUCACAUACAGUGGGACACCCUCUGAAAGAAGAAAUCGCUGAACUUUGAACUUCAAAGGAAGCAGGAGAGAAGUGAGGAAUGUGGAAGAAGCCUUAAACCAGAAUCAGCACUGUUCUGGGAGCCUUUCCGUCCUCCGUGGGUCUGGUGGACUCAGUGCUGGCCCCGGUCACAGAAAGGACAACCUCCAUCUGAGCUGCGUUUUUAAAAAUCACGCCCAAUGAGGCUGAUGAACAUUCUAGCACAACCAAGACUUUUUAGCAGGGGUGCAGUUCCGUUUCAAUCACAAGCCAGAAGCCCCAUAAAGAAGACAUGA
Long non-coding RNA from Talpa occidentalis (Iberian mole), 515 nucleotides. RefSeq lists it as uncharacterized. The record is from RefSeq and is a predicted model, not a curated record. Lineage: Eukaryota; Metazoa; Chordata; Mammalia; Eulipotyphla; Talpidae. The transcript is spliced from 5 exons.